Molecule: ribosomal RNA, 253 nt
Filed under: uncultured bacterium
Lineage: Bacteria
Description: partial 16S ribosomal RNA
Rfam family: Bacterial small subunit ribosomal RNA
Source: RNAcentral
UACAGAGGUCUCAAGCGUUGUUCGGAUUCAUUGGGCGUAAAGGGUGCGUAGGCGGCGCGGUAAGUCGGGUGUGAAAUCUCCGGGCUUAACUCGGAAAGGUCAACUGAUACUGUGCGACUAGAGUGCGGAAGGGGCAACUGGAAUUCUCGGUGUAGCGGUGAAAUGCGUAGAUAUCGAGAGGAACACCUGCGGCGAAGGCGGGUUGCUGGGCCGACACUGACGCUGAUGCGCGAAAGCCAGGGGAGCGAACGGG